CAAAAAGACACGGUAGGAUUG
Molecule: unclassified non-coding RNA, 21 nt
Filed under: Mus musculus (house mouse)
Lineage: Eukaryota; Metazoa; Chordata; Mammalia; Rodentia; Muridae
Description: oocyte_clustered_small_RNA9391
Source: RNAcentral